Long non-coding RNA from Hippopotamus amphibius kiboko, 4855 nucleotides. RefSeq lists it as uncharacterized. NCBI's taxonomy places the organism in Eukaryota, Metazoa, Chordata, Mammalia, Artiodactyla, Hippopotamidae. The record is from RefSeq and is a predicted model, not a curated record. The transcript has 12 exons.
GCGAGGCGAGGCCUGCGGGGCGGGUGCCCGCGCGGGCGGGCACGUGGGGCCCCUUCGUUUUUUGCGUCCAGGCGACCGGCGCCAGCCCCCACCCCCGACCUGGCCCCGUGGCAGCGGCCGGUGGGGAGAAAGACCAAAACCCACCCCGCGCCGCCGCCAAAGUCACGGCUCUGUUCAUGGUUUCUGGGAAGUGCUAGAAACAUGGCCAGAAAAAGAAUGGCGUCCAUUUACAUAGUGCUUUGUCUGCAUUUUGCAACUCUCUUUCGUUACACCCGCAGAAACCCCACCUCUUGCGCUGGUGUCGUUUUAGUCGCUGCCGCCUUGUCAGACGUUUAAGACAGUGGCGUGUAUUUUGGGGGGCCGCAUUUAUCCCUGUUCUGGGGAGUUCCUGCGGUUUUCCCCGCGCGGGUUUACGCUCCCGCUUCUGCCUUUCGGCCCUUUCCCCGCUUGGUGCAGCCACCGCGCCCGCGCUGUCCGUGGGCGGCCCCCAACGGGGUCCGCCAUCUUGGAGGGCCUUUCUUGUCGGGUGCGGAGCCACGCGUUCCUCCCGUUAAAGAAAGGUCGAUAGGGCCGUUGGUGCGCAAGUUGUGAUUUCCGCCCCUUCCGUUUUUCCUGGGCUGCACCAGACAGAAAGGGCCGAAUGCGCGGCGUGCUUCAAGAUCUCUUCGGGAAAGAGGCUAACGUGGCGGUUCCUCCGCCCCCCCUCCUUUCCCCGCGGGAUGGCCGCCAUGUUUCCUGAACACAAAAUGGCGACACGUGUCCUGGAUUCGUCGCUAACGAGAAAUUGGGGUCGGCCCGAAAGCUCUAGAACGCGGUCCCCCCCCGUCCCCGGCCUCAACUCUCGCCCGUGGGCGGGGGCCUUCCCCACGCAGCGAGUGCUUUGACCAGACUGGGAUGAAACCCCAGGCUGGUCCCAACCUCAGCUGGCGAAUUUUAAUACGUUUCUCUCAUUAAUUUGAAACGGGAGUGCGAAUAAGCGUAAAACGUAGGCAUCAUGCUGAGCCUUUCGGUCAUUUCGUUUAAUAAUAGAUGGGGGGGCACUACCAAUGCAUAAUUUGGGCCCCCCAGUAUCAAAAGAGUUAGGAAUCACUACUUUAAGAAAUGAGAUAGGAAAUUAUUGCUUUCCUAGAUUUCUAGCAUAGGCUAUUGUGCUGGUGAGAUAAAGAAAUGGUAUUAAAAGGCUUUCUUUUUUUUUUGAAGGCAAUUUCCAUGAAGCGACUAGGAUAACUAUGAUCUUUUUCAUGGGCCAGCUGGCCAGUGAGCCUCACUUUGCCAUAGAUGUUGACUUGUUGGCUAGAAGGGACAGACAGUUGUGCAUUUACCAGUGGCAGAUCCCGUGCUAGCCAUAUUACUGCAUACUGUUUUUAAUUUUUACAGUGAUCCUCUGAGGUAUGUGUUAUCUCUAUCUCUCUCUCUUUAACAGAUGAAAUCACUUAGGCCAAGAGAGAUGAAGUGACUGAUGCAAGGUCACACAGUGUCGAGGAUGGUAUCCAGACCUUCUGAUACAGUUACUGACCUGUGCUAACUUAUGGAUAUGUGAGUGAAUUCUACACCACCCAUUUUACAGAUGAAGCCACUGAGAUACAGAGCAACUGAUUAAAUAUCGCCACUCCAGCACUGGAGCCUCACAUGACUCUUCUCCCAGGUGAUCUCAAUCUCUCUGACAGCUUCAGUUACCAUCUACACAUGGAUGCUGCUCAAAGCUCUUUCCAGAUCAGAAUAGCCACCUGUUCACAUGGACGGAUCCACGGGGAUGUUUUGAAGACUCAGCAACAUGUAGCCUCCUGCUCUUCCCCUCUUGCUCCUCCUCCAGUGUCCUGUCACAUGAUGACAAGCCACAGGCUCUGAGAGAUGGAUUAACUUGGAAAUGGCAGAAACGAGAUUCAGACCCCGAUGUGUCUGUGGAGCCCUCACUCAUUCUAUCUCACUGUGCUUUCUCUAGAAGAAACCAAAUAGCAGACCCAAAGACACAGGAUAAAUUUCAAGAAAUGGAAUGACUGAGGAACACUGGCUUGUAUGGUUGUCGUCUUCCUCCUCUGACAGAUGAAACAUGAUCUUGCCACUGUAACGUGGUAGUUGAGAAUGUGACUCUGGAGCUAGCCUGAGAGGCCUGAAUUCUGACUCAGCCACUUACUGUGUGACCUUGGGUUCAAUCAACUGUUUUUAUACACAUAUCCCCGUGAAUGCCUGAUAUUCUUAUAAGAAGAGGGAGACACUCACAGAGGGAAGAUGACCAUGGAGAGAUGGAAGCCAAGAUGGGAGAUAUGCUGCCACAUCCAAAGAAUAGCAAGAAUUACUGGCAACCACCAGAAGCUGGAAGAAGCAGGGAAGGAUUCUUUCCUAGAGCCUUCAGAGGGAGCAGGGCCCUGCUGACACCUGUAUUUUGGACGGCUAGCCUCCAGAACUGUCUUCAUCGUAGUGUAACUCACACUGUCACAACACCACUGGUAAUUGUGUACUGUUUAAGAGGCCCUGUCCUGUCAUCCAGAGAAAAUCUGUUGAUGUGUUCUAAGGAGUAAGCCAUGAUGGUGGCAGAGGGAGACCAGAUGGCGGUGGGUGUUGGCCCAGAUCCAGGGGAGCCUGGCCUCUGGGCUGGCAGAAGAGACAGCUUAAGGGUGUCAGGUGAUGGAAUAAGAAGAGACAGGGCUGGUCUGUUAAGUGGUAUAAUUUCAAGGGGCACCAAGAAUACAUCCUGCCCCUCAAAGACUUGCCUCAACUAUUUGUUGUUGCUUGGAAUUCCACAAGUGAAAUUUCUUUCCUUUGAUUUACGUCUUUUGAGACCCUAUUAAAAAUGAAGAGACUCCAGGAAAGGGUUUGAUUAUGGAGCAUCUUGAUCAUAAAAUUGUUAAAAUCUGACAGAGUAUGCUGUUUUGGUGGAGCACAGUUUCGGGAAUUACAAGGAUUUAUCUCAAAGGAAUGGACAUCAAAUGGAGGAAUUCCAGGUAAAGGUUUCAAGGUUUUCCACAUCCGCUGACAGAAGAGCUUAAUCCUCCAUCAGUACCCUCCGACAGCACAUUCAGUUGGGGCAGUGUCUUAUCUUUCAACAUCCGUUCACCCUCAUGCUACACACUUACCCUGCCACCAGUGGCUUCUUAGACUCUGGCUUUCUUCAGGCCCUUGAUAUCAGCCAGUCCCCUUUGAAAAAUGCUGGUUGUAAGCCACUGACCUGAUUUCACAACCCAGUGAUGGGUCACAGCCCACAGGGUGAAAAAUGAAGAGUGAGAUCAUUACUGCCCAGAACAACUCCAAACAUAGCCAAGGAGCCCUGUCCAGAUGUUGCCCUUUGAGUGGCUCGAAGAGCUGGCAGAUGGUGGAACCGGCACCUGUGUGCUCCUGGUGGUGGUCCACUUGGUGCUGCUCUGCUCUUUCCGUGGAGUCUCCUUUCAGGGCCGCAGUUGGUUGUGCCAUAAAGCGGCCACGGGCUCAGAUGCUUUCUCAGUGCUGUGGAAGGAGGUUGAAGUCUAUAAAGCACUCCAUACACCUGACAGAAAGAUGCCAGCUCAGUGUCAAGUGUCACAGGUGUAUGUCUCAUCCCAUUGGAUGAGGCUACUUGUGGAGGCAAAGCUUCCAGGCCCUAUGGGGCUCACAUGUGCUGCUCACCUGGCAGGACUACAGAUGACAGAAUAAGAGCAAAACAAGAAGCUCUUGCAUACAGCGUAACAACAUCUUACUAACCAGAGGGUGGAUGAUAAAUAUACGUAAGGAACAUUCCAGGCAGCAGUGAGUCUUGGAGCCCCAUCUCCCUUUGUAACUGGAAGUUUUUGAAAACAGAAUCCGCAGAAAUAGCUACCUCAACACCCAUGCAUUUAAGCUGGGUGAGCCUCAAAGUCUGUUGACAUUUACUUAGCACACUUUUCUAAGAAAAGUGGCUAUCUGAUUUCUCAACCCACUGUAGAAGAAAAUAAAUUGCCUGGAAGGAUGGUGGUGGUAGGUCUUUUCCAGAGAGAGACAUGUGGAUAAUAGGAAAGUAAAAGCCAUGGGGGAGGGCAGAGAAACAAUAAGAAGGAAACUCAGCCACGUUAUUAGCUAGUUCCUUAGGGAAUGUUCCUAAUGAUGACCACUUCAGUGAGAAAAGGACAUUUUUUAUAGCAUUAGAGAACUGUGGGCCAUAUUUUAGCAAGAUUUCACUUUACAGUGGUUGGCCGUUGAAGUUUUACUUUUCAGAAAAAGUAUUCAUGGGAACCUCAGUGAUUCUGGAUAAGUUAAGUGCUACUGAACUGUCCCUGAUUAGGGAUAGUCAUGGGUUUGAGGCAUGCUGUAACCUCGGGUUCACAGGCGGGUCCUCCCCACCCAACCCUAGACUGCCUCAUGGCCUGAAACCCCUCCAUUACUGUUACUGUUGGAUUCUUUUGUUCACCAAUGUGAAUUUGUGAAUAAAUACUUUCCAAUCUGAAAGCUGCUUGAUAGUGGCUCCGUUAUAUUCUGGGCACUCCCUGAGGAUGGGAUGGGGUUGGGCCUGGAUGGGGUGGCUUAAAUGACCAGAGGGCAGGACAAAAUCACUGGGAUUUGGGCUGUGGUGAGUUAUUAGCACUGGGGGGCAGGCUUGGAAGCUGAGUUCCACUUUUCACUGCUUUGCUUGAGGACAGCCCACUCACUGAGAUGGAGCCAGCUCUCGGUUUCUUCCAUAGUCUGUCUCCUUGAGGCUCACCGGCCACCUGCCCCAGACCUGCUUCUCUGAAUCACCCUGAAUGACUGCAGGGGUGCUCCAGUAAGUAAGGGGACCUCAAAGAAAAGGCAGGUAUUUCUGAGACAAAGAUCAUUUAUUCCACACCAUCUGAGAAAGCAGCCUUGAAGUAGAAGGCAUUGGGGUUAGUGGUGUUUCACACCACCAGAAGGUUUCUGUCUUAACAAUAGA